GACGAACGCUGGCGGCGUGCUUAACACAUGCAAGUCGAACGGUGAAGCGCCUUCCUUUUUGGUGGGUGUGGAUGAGUGGCGAACGGGUGAGUAACACGUGAGUAACCUGCCCCCUUCUUCUGGAUAACCGCAUGAAAGUGUGGCUAAUACGGGAUAUUCUGGGUCUGUCGCAUGAUGGGUCUGGGAAAGAUAUUGUUUCGGUGGGGGAUGGGCUCGCGGCCUAUCGGCUUGUUGGUGGGGUGAUGGCCUACCAAGGCGGGGACGGGUAGCCGGCCGGAGAGGGUGGCCGGUCGCACUGGUACUGGGACACGGCGCGGACUCCUACGGGCGGCAGCAGUGGGGAGUAUUGGACGAUGGGAGUAAGGCUGAUGCAGCGACGCCGCGUUAGGGAUGGACGCCUUCGGGUUGUGAACCUCUUUCGCCGGUGACGCAGGCCUGCCUCGUUUGUGGGUGGGUUGACGGUAGCUGGAUAAGAAGCGCCGGCUAACUACGUG
RNAcentral lists this ribosomal RNA (494 nucleotides) under uncultured bacterium. RNAcentral's name for it is "partial 16S ribosomal RNA". It matches the Rfam family "Bacterial small subunit ribosomal RNA", at positions 28 to 507 of the family's 1533-position model. The record is from RNAcentral.